UGCACUCACCAUGCAGUGGGGAGCCCAUAUAGGGUUAAGCCUCAGACUGACCUGUUGGCAAUGUCACAAACAGGUCUUCCUAGUCUUAAACAUCCCAAUCUGAGAGGUGGCUGCUGAUUUACACGUGCUAUCAUUUAAAAAAUAAAAA
Long non-coding RNA from Myotis davidii, 148 nucleotides. RefSeq lists it as uncharacterized. Lineage: Eukaryota; Metazoa; Chordata; Mammalia; Chiroptera; Vespertilionidae. The record is from RefSeq and is a predicted model, not a curated record. The transcript has 3 exons.